This 330-nucleotide ribosomal RNA is filed under the name uncultured bacterium. RNAcentral's name for it is "bacterial SSU rRNA". It matches the Rfam family "Bacterial small subunit ribosomal RNA", at positions 568 to 898 of the family's 1533-position model. The record is from RNAcentral.
UGUGUAGGCGGUUUGGUAAGUCUGGUGUGAAAUCUCCCGGCUCAACUGGGAGGGUGCGCCGGAAACUGCCGGACUCGAGUGCGGGAGAGGAAAGUGGAAUUCCUGGUGUAGCGGUGAAAUGCGUAGAUAUCAGGAGGAACACCGGUGGUGUAGACGGCUUUCUGGACCGUAACUGACGCUGAAACACGAAAGCGUGGGUAACAAACAGGAUUAGAUACCCUGGUAGUCCACGCCCUAAACGAUGCACAUUUGGUGUGGGUCAUUCAGUUGAUCCGUGCCGGAGCUAACGCGUUAAAUGUGCCGCCUGGGGAGUACAGUCGCAAGGCUGAA